GAUGAAGAACGCAGCGAAAUGCGAUAAGUAAUGCGAAUUGCAGAAUUCCAGUGAGUCAUCGAAUCUUUGAACGCACAUUGCGCCCUUUGGUAUUCCGAAGGGCAUGCCUGUUCGAGCGUCAUUAUCACCCCUCAAGCCCUCGGCUUGGUGUUGGACGGUUUGGUGGAGGCCCCCUCGGGGGCUCCUGCCCCUCCCAAAGACAAUGACGGCGGCCUCGUUGGACCCCCGGUACACUGAGUUCUUCACGGGACACGUAUCGGACACAUGGGUUUACGGGACACGGUCUGCCUCCCCUCAGGGAGAAUCUUUCUAAGGUUGACCUCGGAUCAGGUAGGGAUACCCGCUGAACUUAAGCAUAUCAUAGCGGAGGA
RNAcentral lists this unclassified non-coding RNA (371 nucleotides) under soil metagenome. Its description in RNAcentral is "partial contains 5.8S ribosomal RNA, internal transcribed spacer 2, and large subunit ribosomal RNA". The stretch from base 1 to 121 matches the Rfam family "5.8S ribosomal RNA", at positions 35 to 154 of the family's 154-position model. The record is from RNAcentral.